AGCGAACGCUGGCGGCAGGCCUAACACAUGCAAGUCGAACGAACUCUUCGGAGUUAGUGGCGGACGUGUGAGUAACACGUGGGAACGUGCCUUUUGGUUCGGAAUAACUCAGGGAAACUUGUGCUAAUACCGAAUGUGCCCUUCGGGGGAAAGAUUUAUCGCCAUUAGAGCGGCCCGCGUCUGAUUAGCUAGUUGGUGAGGUAACGGCUCACCAAGGCGACGAUCAGUAGCUGGUCUGAGAGGAGGACCAGCCACACUGGGACUGAGACACGGCCCAGACUCGUACGGGAGGGAGCAGUGGGGAAUCUAGCGCAAGGGGCGAAAGCCUGACGCAGCCAUGCCGCGUGAAUGAUGAAGGUCUUAGGAUUGUAAAAUUCUUUCACCGGGGACGAUAAUGACGGUACCCGGAGAAGAAGCCCCGGCUAACUUCGUG
RNAcentral lists this ribosomal RNA (433 nucleotides) under uncultured bacterium. RNAcentral describes it as "partial 16S ribosomal RNA". It matches the Rfam family "Bacterial small subunit ribosomal RNA", at positions 29 to 507 of the family's 1533-position model. The record is from RNAcentral.